RNAcentral lists this ribosomal RNA (233 nucleotides) under uncultured bacterium. Its description in RNAcentral is "partial 16S ribosomal RNA". It matches the Rfam family "Bacterial small subunit ribosomal RNA", at positions 118 to 351 of the family's 1533-position model. The record is from RNAcentral.
UGAGUAACCUGCCCUUAACUCUGGGAUAAGCCUGGGAAACUGGGUCUAAUACCGGAUAUGACUCCUCAUCGCAUGGUGGGGGGUGGAAAGCUUUUUGUGGUUUUGGAUGGACUCGCGGCCUAUCAGCUUGUUGGUGAGGUAAUGGCUCACCAAGGCGGCGACGGGUAGCCGGCCUGAGAGGGUGACCGGCCACACUGGGACUGAGACACGGCCCAGACUCCUACGGGAGGCAG